UCAGGACGAACGCUGGCGGCGUGCCUAAUACAUGCAAGUCGAGCGGACAGAAGGGAGCUUGCUCCCGGAUGUUAGCGGCGGACGGGUGAGUAACACGUGGGUAACCUGCCUGUAAGACUGGGAUAACUCCGGGAAACCGGAGCUAAUACCGGAUAGUUCCUUGAACCGCAUGGUUCAAGGAUGAAAGACGGUUUCGGCUGUCACUUACAGAUGGACCCGCGGCGCAUUAGCUAGUUGGUGAGGUAACGGCUCACCAAGGCGACGAUGCGUAGCCGACCUGAGAGGGUGAUCGGCCACACUGGGACUGAGACACGGCCCAGACUCCUACGGGAGGCAGCAGUAGGGAAUCUUCCGCAAUGGACGAAAGUCUGACGGAGCAACGCCGCGUGAGUGAUGAAGGUUUUCGGAUCGUAAAGCUCUGUUGUUAGGGAAGAACAAGUGCAAGAGUAACUGCUUGCACCUUGACGGUACCUAACCAGAAAGCCACGGCUAACUACGUGCCAGCAGCCGCGGUAAUACGUAGGUGGCAAGCGUUGUCCGGAAUUAUUGGGCGUAAAGGGCUCGCAGGCGGUUUCUUAAGUCUGAUGUGAAAGCCCCCGGCUCAACCGGGGAGGGUCAUUGGAAACUGGGAAACUUGAGUGCAGAAGAGGAGAGUGGAAUUCCACGUGUAGCGGUGAAAUGCGUAGAGAUGUGGAGGAACACCAGUGGCGAAGGCGACUCUCUGGUCUGUAACUGACGCUGAGGAGCGAAAGCGUGGGGAGCGAACAGGAUUAGAUACCCUGGUAGUCCACGCCGUAAACGAUGAGUGCUAAGUGUUAGGGGGUUUCCGCCCCUUAGUGCUGCAGCUAACGCAUUAAGCACUCCGCCUGGGGAGUACGGUCGCAAGACUGAAACUCAAAGGAAUUGACGGGGGCCCGCACAAGCGGUGGAGCAUGUGGUUUAAUUCGAAGCAACGCGAAGAACCUUACCAGGUCUUGACAUCCUCUGACAACCCUAGAGAUAGGGCUUUCCCUUCGGGGACAGAGUGACAGGUGGUGCAUGGUUGUCGUCAGCUCGUGUCGUGAGAUGUUGGGUUAAGUCCCGCAACGAGCGCAACCCUUGAUCUUAGUUGCCAGCAUUCAGUUGGGCACUCUAAGGUGACUGCCGGUGACAAACCGGAGGAAGGUGGGGAUGACGUCAAAUCAUCAUGCCCCUUAUGACCUGGGCUACACACGUGCUACAAUGGACAGAACAAAGGGCUGCGAGACCGCAAGGUUUAGCCAAUCCCACAAAUCUGUUCUCAGUUCGGAUCGCAGUCUGCAACUCGACUGCGUGAAGCUGGAAUCGCUAGUAAUCGCGGAUCAGC
Molecule: ribosomal RNA, 1345 nt
Filed under: Bacillus altitudinis
Lineage: Bacteria; Bacillati; Bacillota; Bacilli; Caryophanales; Bacillaceae
Description: bacterial SSU rRNA
Rfam family: Bacterial small subunit ribosomal RNA
Source: RNAcentral